RNAcentral lists this ribosomal RNA (468 nucleotides) under uncultured bacterium. RNAcentral describes it as "partial 16S ribosomal RNA". It matches the Rfam family "Bacterial small subunit ribosomal RNA", at positions 28 to 507 of the family's 1533-position model. The record is from RNAcentral.
GACGAACGCUGGCGGCGUGCUUAACACAUGCAAGUCGAACGGAAAGGCCCUGCUUUUGUGGGGUGCUCGAGUGGCGAACGGGUGAGUAACACGUGAGUAACCUGCCCUUGACUUUGGGAUAACUUCAGGAAACUGGGGCUCAUACCGGAUAGGAGCUCCUGCUGCAUGGUGGGGGUUGGAAAGUUUCGGCGGUUGGGGAUGGACUCGCGGCUUAUCAGCUUGUUGGUGGGGUAGUGGCUUACCAAGGCUUUGACGGGUAGCCGGCCUGAGAGGGUGAACGGCCACAUUGGGACUGAGAUACGGCCCAGACGCCUACGGGAGGCAGCAGUGGGGAAUAUUGCACAAUGGGCGGAAGCCUGAUGCAGCAACGCCGCGUGCGGGAUGACGGCCUUCGGGUUGUAAACCGCUUUCGCCUGUGACGAAGCGUGAGUGACGGUAAUGGGUAAAGAAGCACCGGCUAACUACGUG